RNAcentral lists this ribosomal RNA (492 nucleotides) under uncultured bacterium. RNAcentral's name for it is "partial 16S ribosomal RNA". It matches the Rfam family "Bacterial small subunit ribosomal RNA", at positions 29 to 507 of the family's 1533-position model. The record is from RNAcentral.
AGUGAACGCUGGCGGUAGGCCUAACACAUGCAAGUCGAACGGCAGCACAGUAAGAGCUUGCUCUUACGGGUGGCGAGUGGCGGACGGGUGAGGAAUACAUCGGAAUCUACUUUUUCGUGGGGGAUAACGUAGGGAAACUUACGCUAAUACCUCAUACUACCUACGGCUUAAAGCAAGGGAUCUUCGGACCUUUCGCGAUUCAAUUAGCUGAUGUCGGAUUAGCUAGUUGGCGGGGUAAAGGCCCACCAAGGCGACGAUCCGUAGCUGGUCUGAGAGGAUGAUCAGCCACACUGGAACUGAGACACGGUCCAGACUCCUACGGGAGGCAGCAGUGGGGAAUAUUGGACAAUGGGCGAAAGCCUGAUCCAGCCAUACCGCGUGGGUGAAGAAGGCCUUCGGGUUGUAAAGCCCUUUUGUUGGGAAAGAAAAGCAGCAGGUUAAUACCCCGCUGUUCUGACGGUACCCAAAGAAUAAGCACCGGCUAACUUCGUG